This 506-nucleotide ribosomal RNA is filed under the name uncultured bacterium. RNAcentral's name for it is "partial 16S ribosomal RNA". It matches the Rfam family "Bacterial small subunit ribosomal RNA", at positions 29 to 523 of the family's 1533-position model. The record is from RNAcentral.
AGUGAACGCUGGCGGUAGGCCUAACACAUGCACGUCGAACGGCAGCACAGGAGAGCUUGCUCUCUGGGUGGCGAGUGGCGGACGGGUGAGGAAUACAUCGGAAUCUACUCUGUCGUGGGGGAUAACGUAGGGAAACUUACGCUAAUACCGCAUACGACCUACGGGUGAAAGCAGGGGACCUUCGGGCCUUGCGCGAUUGAAUGAGCCGAUGUCGGAUUAGCUAGUUGGCGGGGUAAAGGCCCACCAAGGCGACGAUCCGUAGCUGGUCUGAGAGGAUGAUCAGCCACACUGGAACUGAGACACGGGCCAGACGCCUACGGGAGGCAGCAGUGGGGAAUAUUGGACAAUGGGCGCAAGCCUGAUCCAGCCAUACCGCGUGGGUGAAGAAGGCCUUCGGGUUGUAAAGCCCUUUUGUUGGGAAAGAAAUCCAGCUGGCUAAUACCCGGUUGGGAUGACGGUACCCAAAGAAUAAGCACCGGCUAACUUCGUGCCAGCCGCCGCGGUAA